RNAcentral lists this ribosomal RNA (253 nucleotides) under uncultured bacterium. RNAcentral describes it as "partial 16S ribosomal RNA". It matches the Rfam family "Bacterial small subunit ribosomal RNA", at positions 524 to 776 of the family's 1533-position model. The record is from RNAcentral.
UACGGAGGGGGCUAGCGUUGUUCGGAAUUACUGGGCGUAAAGCGCACGUAGGCGGCUUUGUAGGUUAGAGGUGAAAGCCCGGGGCUCAACUCCGGAAUUGCCUUUAAGACUGCAUCGCUCGAAUUGUGGAGAGGUAAGUGGAAUUCCGAGUGUAGAGGUGAAAUUCGUAGAUAUUCGGAAGAACACCAGUGGCGAAGGCGACUUACUGGACACAUAUUGACGCUGAGGUGCGAAAGCGUGGGGAGCAAACAGG